GUCCUGGAGCAGCAUCUCAGGCAGAUUUGUACUUCCCGCCUAGGAGAGGGGCAGAGCGGGGUCAGUUCCCUGCAGGCCUCAGGGAGAGAGGAGCGGCUGAGCCUCUUGGUAGGCGGAAACUGUGGAAGGCACCGCGGGAGUGACCCUGAGGCAGGCGGAGGCCUGCAAACAGGAGGCUAGUGGUAAUCUCCAGAGCAGAGCUGCAGCUGAGGAUCCAGAGUGAGGGAGUCCACAAGGCCUGAGAGAAUCUCUGGAGUAUAGUUUUCCAACAGAGGAUCUGGAGGAGGGCCUGAAGGAAAAACU
Long non-coding RNA from Gavialis gangeticus (Gharial), 303 nucleotides. RefSeq lists it as uncharacterized. The record is from RefSeq and is a predicted model, not a curated record. Lineage: Eukaryota; Metazoa; Chordata; Crocodylia; Gavialidae. The transcript has 4 exons.